RNAcentral lists this ribosomal RNA (253 nucleotides) under uncultured bacterium. Its description in RNAcentral is "partial 16S ribosomal RNA". It matches the Rfam family "Bacterial small subunit ribosomal RNA", at positions 524 to 776 of the family's 1533-position model. The record is from RNAcentral.
UACGUAGGGGGCAAGCGUUGUCCGGAAUCAUUGGGCGUAAAGCGCGUGUAGGCGGCCCGGUAAGUCCGCUGUGAAAGUCCAGGGCUCAACCCUGGAAUGCCGGCGGAUACUGUCGGGCUCGAGUCCGGAAGAGGCGAGUGGAAUUCCUGGUGUAGCGGUGAAAUGCGCAGAUAUCAGGAGGAACACCGAUGGCGAAGGCAGCUCGCUGGGACGGUACUGACGCUGAGACGCGAAAGCGUGGGGAGCAAACAGG